ACUCCCUUCACCAUGUCGGUUUCUCCCUCAUUCUCACCUCUUUCCCAAAUCAAUUUUCAAAAACCCUAAAUCCAUCUCCCAUUUUUUUUCAUCGCCCGCAUCUCUCUCUUCUUUUCGUCGCCGGAAAUGGCUCGCCUUCCUCACGGCCGCGUCGACACCGUGUCACUGCCAGCUUGGCGGAUUUUGCGCCUUCGGAGACAGAGAAGGCGUCGCCUCCCUCCACGGACACAGCUCAGCACCGCCUCUAUGAUCUCUCUCUCCGGCGUUCGUUGCACUGCUGCCAAAUCCCCGCUCUCGGCGAGCCUCACAGCCGCCGCUCCUUCCCUCGUGACGUAGCGCCACCGACAGACGACCUCCUCUAAGCUAAGUUUUCUGCCCUUUAAUGCUUAGCUUGGUUCGUAGGUUUCAUUUGGCAAAGCUAUGUAAAAUCGAUUUAUGACUAUUGGUGAUGUUCAAGCUUUGGUCUUGUGAGAGUUCGAUUACUGUUCAUCUAAUUAGUUUGUACCAGGAGCUUUGUGUUAUGAUCCUUGGCAGAAAUUUAGCUCACUGUAAUGAACUCUUACAUAGAUAUGCUACGCUUUUCCCCUACUGACUGUUAUGGUUUGGCUGUUGGUUAUUUCUAUGGCUUCUUAAGUGAUCAUGCUUCUAUGAUUCUAAGUUCUUGACUAUUUAUGGUGCCUUCCCUAAAUGAUGCAAGAGUGUAUUGUGGGGUUACCUACUGAGAAAUGGGCUGUGAGGUUGUGGGAUCUCCGGCCGAGCUUAGAAUGAACUCUCUCUUUGCUUUGUUCUGCUGCUGGAACAUUGUGGGAAUGUGAAGGGAAUUGGGUGAGCAUGGAGGGGUUCUCUUAUAGGGGAGGGGUGUACUCGUAGGGUCCAAUCUAGUUGCUGCAUUCUUGUUACAUCCUGCAGCUCUUUUAACCGCUUUUGGCAUUUUGUAAUUGCUUAGUACCUUGUUCAUUUAUAGCAAUUGUCCCUUGUGGCAGGUGUACAAUGGUUGGCAGGGAUUUGUAGGUAAUUUUCUCAGCGAUGGCAGAGGUGAGAUGGGGUAUGAGCUGCCCAAAAUCAGCCUUGCCAGGUACCUGCAGCGGCUGGGAUGGAGAUGCCGGCUGGGCUUGCUUCUUUCAGCCCAAGCACUUCCUCACUUUUGGCAAGGGACAGGGAGACCGAUCCCUUCUGGCUGCAGUCUCUUUGGUUCGGCCCAACAGGCCGUCGAAAAUCUGGGCCGAAAUCCGUGCUAAAAGCGGCCCGAAGCUAGUAGUUCCAUAUUGUAAUAGAGUAGUGUUUCUACUUUGAAGUCUUCCCCUUUCUUUCCAAACAUGUAUGCAAAUCUAUAUAAAAGUUGGUGUGUAUUUUGUUUCCUAAAUUUCCAUCAUCAAUUAUUUGUAAUCUAAGACUUAGCUUGAGAUUUAUACAUUGUAUUUCAUUUACUUAAGAAAUAAAUGGAUACACUUUCGCUUCA
Salvia splendens (bonfire salvia) is the source of this 1459-nucleotide long non-coding RNA. RefSeq lists it as uncharacterized. The transcript has 2 exons. Lineage: Eukaryota; Viridiplantae; Streptophyta; Magnoliopsida; Lamiales; Lamiaceae. The record is from RefSeq and is a predicted model, not a curated record.